RNAcentral lists this ribosomal RNA (465 nucleotides) under uncultured bacterium. RNAcentral describes it as "partial 16S ribosomal RNA". It matches the Rfam family "Bacterial small subunit ribosomal RNA", at positions 28 to 507 of the family's 1533-position model. The record is from RNAcentral.
GACGAACGCUGGCGGCGUGCUUAACACAUGCAAGUCGUACGGUAAGGCCCUUUCGGGGGUACACGAGUGGCGAACGGGUGAGUAACACGUGCGUAACCUGCCCACAACUUUGGGAUAACGCUAGGAAACUGGUGCUAAUACUGGAUAUGUACUCCUGCUGCAUGGGGGGGGUUGGAAAGCUCCGGCGGGUGUGGAUGGACUCGCGGCCUAUCGGCUUGUUGGUGGGGUAGUGGCCUACCAAGGCGGCGACGGGUAGCCGGCCUGAGGGGGUGACCGGCCACAUUGGGACUGAGGGACGGCCCAAGCUGCGACGGGAGGCAGCAGGGGGGAAGAUUGCACGAUGGGCGCAAGGCUGAUGCAGCAGCGCCGCGGGCGGGAAGACGGCCUUCGGGGUGAAAACCGCUUUCAGCAGGGACGAAGCUUUUUGUGACGGUACCUGCAGAAGAAGCACCGGCUAACUACGUG